UCCAGAGAUGCCAGGGGGCUACAGAUCAGCUGUACAUACCACUCAGUCAAUGAUGCCACAACAUUUAGCACCAAGAAUGCAAGAAUGGAGUCAUGAACAUAAUUCAAAUGUGGAUCAACACCAACAUGAAUCAGCCUGGACAGCCAGUGGCAAUGGAAGCUG
Long non-coding RNA from Sinocyclocheilus rhinocerous, 162 nucleotides. RefSeq lists it as uncharacterized. The record is from RefSeq and is a predicted model, not a curated record. NCBI's taxonomy places the organism in Eukaryota, Metazoa, Chordata, Actinopteri, Cypriniformes, Cyprinidae. The transcript has 3 exons.